This is a long non-coding RNA of Cataglyphis hispanica, 477 nucleotides long. RefSeq lists it as uncharacterized. The record is from RefSeq and is a predicted model, not a curated record. The transcript is spliced from 2 exons. Lineage: Eukaryota; Metazoa; Arthropoda; Insecta; Hymenoptera; Formicidae.
CGCAUAAUUGCAAAACGAAUCCAACAGACCGCCUCUCUCGCCGUCGAAGUGGGGUAGAUCCAGCGGCUGUCUCUGAAUAACGUCCAAACGUAUCAACGAGAUGUCGAUUGGGACACCAAGGCUCGGAUGAUGGAAUACCACAGACCAAUCCAUGUCCUUGGCAGAAACUUAUGGCUGCGGAGCCGAUAUGAUCUUCGUGAAGAUAAUAGCAAGGAUCUGGUGCAUUUAAUUGCGAUAACUCUUCCGUGAUGCCUCUAGUAUUAUGUUUCCAUACUUGAAACUCGGACGAUACAAUUUUGUCGUUUCUACGUAGGCUCAGCUGAAUCAAUUGCCCAAAUACUUUAAAAGUUAAUGGAAUCUGUGCACAAAUCGGAUAAUCGAUAUAUUAAAAACCUUUUCUUUUUCUCGAUAUCUACUCGGGAAAAAAAGUUCAUUAUAACAAUCCAUAAUCAAAUAAAAAUCAAAUGUAUAUACAUA